AGGUGGGGGUUGCCGUGCUCGGUUCUUUGGAGGAAGCUAAGGCCGUUUUGGGGUGAGGCCCUCACUUCAUCCGGCGACUAGCACCGCGCCCGGCAGCCCCCACCUAGCACUCACC
Cervus elaphus (red deer) is the source of this 115-nucleotide long non-coding RNA. RefSeq lists it as uncharacterized. The transcript has 3 exons. The record is from RefSeq and is a predicted model, not a curated record. Lineage: Eukaryota; Metazoa; Chordata; Mammalia; Artiodactyla; Cervidae.